This 440-nucleotide ribosomal RNA is filed under the name uncultured bacterium. RNAcentral describes it as "bacterial SSU rRNA". It matches the Rfam family "Bacterial small subunit ribosomal RNA", at positions 338 to 794 of the family's 1533-position model. The record is from RNAcentral.
CCUACGGGGGGCAGCAGUUAGGAAUCUUGCGCAAUGGGCGAAAGCCUGACGCAGCAACGCCGCGUGGGGGAUGAAGGCUCUCGGGUUGUAAACCCCUUUCAGCAGGGACGAAAAUGACGGUACCUGCAGAAGAAGGACCGGCCAACUACGUGCCAGCAGCCGCGGUAAUACGUAGGGUCCGAGCGUUGUCCGGAUUCAUUGGGCGUAAAGAGCUCGUAGGCGGCUCAGUAAGUCGGAUGUGAAAACUCAGGGCUCAACCCGGAGACGCCAUCCGAUACUGCUGUGGCUUGAGUCUGGUAGGGGAACACGGAAUACCUGGUGUAGCGGUGAAAUGCGCAGAUAUCAGGUGGAACACCGAUGGCGAAGGCAGUGUUCUGGGCCAGUACUGACGCUGAGGAGCGAAAGCGUGGGUAGCAAACAGGAUUAGAUACCCCAGUAGU